Molecule: transfer RNA, 71 nt
Filed under: Persicimonas caeni
Lineage: Bacteria; Deltaproteobacteria; Bradymonadales; Bradymonadaceae
Rfam family: tRNA
About the family: Transfer RNA (tRNA) molecules are approximately 80 nucleotides in length. Their secondary structure includes four short double-helical elements and three loops (D, anti-codon, and T loops).
Source: Rfam by way of RNAcentral
UCGGGUGUGGCCAAGUGGCAAGGCAGCGGGUUUUGGUCCCGCCAUCCUAGGUUCGAAUCCUAGCACCCGAA